RNAcentral lists this ribosomal RNA (560 nucleotides) under uncultured bacterium. Its description in RNAcentral is "partial 16S ribosomal RNA". It matches the Rfam family "Bacterial small subunit ribosomal RNA", at positions 355 to 905 of the family's 1533-position model. The record is from RNAcentral.
UGGGGAAUAUUGCACAAUGGGCGCAAGCCUGAUCCAGCCAUACCGCGUGGGUGAAGAAGGCCUUCGGGUUGUAAAGCCCUUUUGUUGGGAAAGAAAUCCAGCUGGUUAAUACCCGGUUGGGAUGACGGUACCCAAAGAAUAAGCACCGGCUAACUUCGUGCCAGCAGCCGCGGUAAUACGAAGGGUGCAAGCGUUACUCGGAAUUACUGGGCGUAAAGCGUGCGUAGGUGGUCGUUUAAGUCUGUUGUGAAAGCCCUGGGCUCAACCUGGGAACUGCAGUGGAAACUGGACGACUAGAGUGUGGUAGAGGGUAGCGGAAUUCCUGGUGUAGCAGUGAAAUGCGUAGAGAUCAGGAGGAACAUCCAUGGCGAAGGCAGCUACCUGGACCAACACUGACACUGAGGCACGAAAGCGUGGGGAGCAAACAGGAUUAGAUACCCUGGUAGUCCACGCCCUAAACGAUGCGAACUGGAUGUUGGGUGCAAUUUUGGCACGCAGUAUCGAAGCUAACGCGUUAAGUUCGCCGCCUGGGGAGUACGGUCGCAAGACUGAAACUUAAA